Molecule: long non-coding RNA, 3987 nt
Organism: Ailuropoda melanoleuca (giant panda)
Lineage: Eukaryota; Metazoa; Chordata; Mammalia; Carnivora; Ursidae
Exons: 3
Source: RefSeq, a predicted model, not a curated record
UGCUCAGUUCCUUUUGCAAGGCCACACAGCAAAUGGGUGCAGAACAAGGGGAGCCCUCCCUUCCAGGGCUGGCUUCUAUCAUCAAAUUUCCAGUCGUGGAGGAAACACGGCAGUAGCCCAGCCCCCUCCGGGAGAACGUGGAAUGACCCUGACGAAGUUGCUCAACCAGAGGGGUCAAGUCAGCUCUUAGCUGUGUCAAGAUCGUGUGGAGUCGGGUGCCUCUCGGAGAAUGCACAGCCUGACCCCAUCCUGAAAGAGCAGCAAGCACUUAUUGAGCCCUGACUCGGAUCCAGGCAUUCCUAGGUGUUUUACAUAGGGUGCCUCAUUAUCUUCAAUUCUACAACAUUCCAUGAAUAUGUUUUAUCGUCACCAUUUUCCCACUAAGGAAAUUGAAGCUUCAUGAGGUGGAACAACUCACCCAAGAUCACAUAGACAAGAAAAAGGGGAGCUUGGUCUGAACCCGGGUCUGUUGGCUUCCCCAAACCAGUAACUUCUCUAUGUACAGGAGGAGAAAUGCCUGCAAUGAGAUCUUCAUUAGACCGAGUUCCGUGUUGUCGCCCAGACUGUGAUAGUGGCUCUUUUGGUGGCUCUGAUGUGAAAUUACUCCAUUGUCAUCAGAUAUGAACAGGGCUCAAGACUACAUCCGGGUAGAAGCUCUUGGUUUCUGUCAGAACUCCAGCUGUCAUUCUUAAUGGCUUUCAACUGACCCACUUACGCGGAAAGCUGGAGAACCUCUGUGCUGUUCACUUGGAGAUACGCCGCUUGCCUCUUGUUUAUCUAACAAAUAUCCUGGCAGAUACCACAGCCUACUUGGAAAUUACCAGGGCGGUGAGCACAUCCUUUCUCCAUACGACCUUUGAUCAUCAGCAGCAAAAUAAAGCUGACUCUUAGGAGCUACAACCGUAUCUUUAAUUGGCUGGGCUUAUUCUACAGUAUUUCAGGACCAGAGUCCUCGGGGGAUAGAUAGAACUCAGCAUCCUUUUUUUGUGCCAGCGCAACCCUGUUUAAAAUGGUUGCUCGGUCCUCUGCGAGCCAUAUGUGGCUUUUUCCGUUUAAAUGAGCACAGAUUUAAAGCACCUUCCAGUGCUCAGUAGCGAAAUGCGGCUCAGGACUACCGUGCUGGGCAGCACGGUAGACGUUUCCAUCACCUCAGAAGGUUCUAGGAGAUAGCAUUGGUUUAGUAAUAAUAAGAGCUAAGAUUUCUGAGUACGUGUUGUGUGCCCGGCACUGGUCUCAGCACUUUACAGGUGUUCAUUGUUUUAUUCCUCACCACAAACCUGUGAGCUAGGUACUAUUAGUUGUCCCAUUUAUAGAUGAGCAAAACUAGGCACAGAGAUUAUUGAUAUUAUCAAGCCACGUGCAUCACACUGCUGAUAUGAGGACUGGACAAGACACACACGACAGUCUGGCUCCAGAGUUUAAGCCCUGCUCCUUCGCGCUGAAUUGCUUCUCACAUGAGAUGCAUUAGGAAGAAAUAGCCCCAAGUCAUCUUCAAUGCAAAUAAAUGUUUUAAUUUAAAAAGAACGAAAGACUAUUGAUCUAGUAAUCAUCGCUCCUCUGUCCUUCCCAGUCCCACCUGCUAUUGGCAGGUGGUUGACCUUCAUUGCACAGAAAGGAACAAGGCAGAACCCCUGCCUCCCUCAGUCCCUUUCCUUACCGCCUUCCUUGGCCCCGUUUCUUCAUCAGUUUCUGUCUCCUUCCUUUUGUCUCCUCCUGGAAAAGGCAAAUGCCUUCACUGGCGUGCCCACUCGCAUCCUUUCCUGCCUCAUGCAGAACCAAGCUGUCAUUAUUUACCUUCUCUCUUUCUCAUCAACUUCUGUUUUUCCCGCAAGACUCUUUGUCUUUGAAGAAAACAUACGCAGUCCUUCUCUCCCCUGCGCUUUAUUAAAUAUGCCAAUCUAACUAGCGUCUCGUCCUGUAAGAUUCAAGGGCAGCAUCUGCCCGGCACCCUUGGCGUCCUCAGCUUUCCUUGUCCCAGGCCAGCCUAAUGCCCCUUUUUGGUGUCCCCACUGCCUUCUGCCUACCUUACUUGCAGUCCUCACCACACCAUGUUGAGCAAUGCAUUUAAAUUUCUAUUUUAUCCAAGAGUUUACUGCUUGAGAGUAAGGAUCACGUUCUAAUCAUCUCUAGAGCUCACCAACUAGCUCAAUGGCACAAGGUAAGCACUAGAUAAACAUUGAUUGGAAUAUAAGCAUUUAUUCUAAAAAAAAAACCCCAAACAUCUAAAUAUGUCAACUUUCUUUUGACUUUACUUUUUCCUCUGAUAUUGGCUUCUGGUUUUUUAUCUUUAAACUUCUUGAAAAAAUUAUCUAUAAUCUUUUAUUUGUUACCAAUUAGCCUUAUUCUCUUCUGAUUUGGCCUCUCUGUCCAUUGAAGAAAAGACAUCCUAAACACAGAUGCAAGGUCUGUGCCUUGAUGAUACAUUUUUUAAAUUUGCGGUGUUUGAGAUUGAUGACCCAUCCAUGAAAUUCUCUCCUACCUUGAAUUCUUUUCUCCUCAGCAUUUGGACUCUCAUUACUUUUUUUGGUGGAAUCAUUUCUUUUUGGUCUUCUCCUUCUUGGCUAGCUUCUGCCCGUCUACCAUUCUUUAAUUAUGGAUGUUCUUUAAGCUUUAGGAUAUCUUCUCUCUCCCAUUGUAGUGUUAUAAAUUUCUAUGACUUUCAUUGUUUUCAAAUGAUUCUUGCAUUUAUAUUCCAAUCACGUCAUUUCUUGGCAUCUUUACCUUAGGACCUGCCAGUUCUUGUAAUUUAACACUUGUAAACUAAGUUAAUCAUUUUUGCUGUGAAAUUUGUUCCUCCCCCUGACUUCUCAAAUUCUUCCAAUGGCAUCGCCAUUUUGCAUGACCAUAGUUCAGUCUCAAACUCGAUGCCUGCUAUAUCUCCAAACCCAUGUUCCUAGUAAGUCAUAUCCUACUGAGUUUUCCUUUGAAAUUGCUCUCACUUCUUCUGUUCCUUUCACAUGGCUGCCUUCUUAAUUAAGACCCUUAUUUAGCUCUUGGCUGUACUAUUGCUAAUAUCUUUGAGCAUCUCGCCUCCCUCGCCUCCUACCAUGUGGUUCACACCACUGCCAGAGUAAUCUUCCCAAACAACUCCGAUUAUGUCUGAUUAUGUCUUUUCCUUAUUCAAAAUAUCUCUAAUGACAGCUCCAUGCCUAUUUAAUAAAGUCCAUAUAAUUCGCUUGACAGUCAAGGGCCAUCUAUAACAAGUUUUCCUUUCAUUUUCCUCUCCUCUCGUUUUGCCUUCUGCAUAUACCCUGAAUUUCUUGUUGUUUUCCAAUACAUUUCAGAAUCUUUUACUUCCAUGCUUUUGUAUAUAUUCUCCCUUGCCCUUGCGCACUCUAACUCCUUCUCCAGCUCCCGUUUUACUGAGUGAGGUAUUUCUUUUCAAUGUCCUGUUCCAGGGCAUUUGCUCCCUGGAGCCUCCCCUGCUGACUUCAGCCAGGAAUGAUCUCUCUUGCUUUACACUUCCACAGCGUUCUAUCUGGCCUACACGUUGCCCGUGCUUGUCACCUGAUCAAGUGUCUUCUAUGACAUGGUAGCUCCCUGAGCAUGAACGCACGCUUAAUUCAUCUUCAAUAUUCCUCAAAGUAUUUCACUCCGGGCAGAUGCUGAGUUGGUAUUCGUUGAUGAUGGCAGUACCCAGAUUCCCUUGCUGCACUCCCUUUGUCCAAUGUAUAGCAUUAGCAUCUGCGCUGGGAGAACUUCUGCUGGAAUAAAACAAGGUGAAAUGAAAAACUAUCUCUUAAAUAAUGGCAGAAGCUCCGUGGUGUGUCUGUCGCUGAAUCCCUCUUAAAUUCAUUUUGGAUGGUAACAGAGUAUAGACAAUAAAUGAAGACUUGAGGAUAGUUAAAUAUUGAUCUUGACCUUUCUGUAAUACCCACAUAUCCUUUCCAUCCCUUAGUUUCUUCUUUAAUGGAUCAGCAUCACUGUGUUACCUCAGAGGAACCACGGUGACAAUAGCAAAUUACCUUGACAUUUUAAAGGGUUAAG